AUUGAACGCUGGCGGCAGGCCUAACACAUGCAAGUCGAGCGGUAGCACAGAGAGCUUGCUCUCGGGUGACGAGCGGCGGACGGGUGAGUAAUGUCUGGGAAACUGCCUGAUGGAGGGGGAUAACUACUGGAAACGGUAGCUAAUACCGCAUAACGCCGCAAGACCAAAGUGGGGGACCUUCGGGCCUCACACCAUCGGAUGUGCCCAGAUGGGAUUAGCUAGUAGGUGGGGUAAUGGCUCACCUAGGCGACGAUCCCUAGCUGGUCUGAGAGGAUGACCAGCCACACUGGAACUGAGACACGGUCCAGACUCCUACGGGAGGCAGCAGUGGGGAAUAUUGCACAAUGGGCGCAAGCCUGAUGCAGCCAUGCCGCGUGUAUGAAGAAGGCCUUCGGGUUGUAAAGUACUUUCAGCGGGGAGGAAGGCGGUGAGGUUAAUAACCUCGCCGAUUGACGUUACCCGCAGAAGAAGCACCGGCUAACUCCGUGCCAGCAGCCGCGGUAA
Molecule: ribosomal RNA, 504 nt
Filed under: uncultured bacterium
Lineage: Bacteria
Description: partial 16S ribosomal RNA
Rfam family: Bacterial small subunit ribosomal RNA
Source: RNAcentral